RNAcentral lists this ribosomal RNA (380 nucleotides) under uncultured Sphingobacteriales bacterium. RNAcentral describes it as "bacterial SSU rRNA". It matches the Rfam family "Bacterial small subunit ribosomal RNA", at positions 1002 to 1382 of the family's 1533-position model. Lineage: Bacteria; Pseudomonadati; Bacteroidota; Sphingobacteriia; Sphingobacteriales. The record is from RNAcentral.
UCGUAAAGGGAUACUUCUUUCGGACGAUAUUACAAGGUGCUGCAUGGUUGUCGUCAGCUCGUGCCGUGAGGUGUCGGGUUAAGUCCCAUAACGAGCGCAACCCUACCUUUAGUUGCCAUCAGGUAAUGCUGGGGACUCUAAAGGAACUGCCUACGCAAGUAGUGAGGAAGGCGGGGAUGACGUCAAAUCAGCACGGCCCUUACGUCCAGGGCUACACACGUGCUACAAUGGCCGAUACAGAGGGCAGCUACCUGGUGACAGGAUGCAAAUCUCCAAAGUCGGUCUCAGUUCGGAUCGGAGUCUGCAACCCGACUCCGUGAAGUUGGAUUCGCUAGUAAUCGCGCAUCAGCCAUGGCGCGGUGAAUACGUUCCCGGGCCUU